AUGAAGGCCAUAGCUUGGAACUGUCGAGGUAUGGGCAGGGGCCUCGGCAGUGAGCACAUGCUAUACCUUGCAAAUUUGAUGCGGCCCACUAAUGUUCAGGUAACUUUUGUUUCAGAAAUUAAAUCUUCCAAAGUCCGUUCAGUUGAUCUUGUCAAUAGGUUUGAUGUGUCCAAUGCAUUUGUUGUUCCUUCUAGAGGUGCCUCGGGUGGUCUUUGGCUUAUGUGGACCGAUGAACUCAAAGUUUCUAUUCAUACAGCUGCUUUUCACUAUACUUUAGCUAAUGUAGUCCAUGUAGCUUCUGGGGUCAACUUUUGCCUGAUUUGUAUAUAUGGUGACCCGUAUCAUAGGCAGACUAAUGCCAUCUGGGACCAAGUUACUACUUUUGUAUAUGAUAAUUUAGGUAAACCCAUGGUUUCUAUGGGUGACUUGAAUGAUAUCCUGUAUGAUGUGGAUGGUUGUAAUGGUAAUAUCAACUACUAUCGUAUGCAUGCUUUCCGGUCGCUUGUUAAAAAUUGUGGCUUGUUUGACAUUGGUUACAGUGGCCCUGCUUAUACUUGGUGUGGUAGACAGAAUACUUCCAAACCUAUUCAUAGACGCCUUGAUCGUUGUUUGGUUAACUCUGAAUGGUGCUCUUAUUAUCCCAAUACCAAAGUGUUGAACCUUCCCAUCAUUCUCAGUGAUCAUGCUCCUAUUUUAAUUUCUACAGAGAGUCAAUUUGUGAAACCUAAGCAAACUUUCAAAUUUGAAAAUUGGUGGUUCAUGGAGAAAGACUUUCACUCUUUUGCUAAAAAUACUUGGAAUGCUUGUACUCUCACUUCUUUUGUUGCAAAGUCUUCCUCUUUGGCAGGGUCUUUAAAAACUUGGUGUAAAAAUAAAAAAACCCUUCAGCAGAACCUUGCGGACUUGGAGUCAAAGAUUAAUGAGCUGCAGCAGCUUCCUCUUCAGCAGCAAAAUCAUGAUUUGGAAAGUUCUCUCAUUGCUAGAUUCUUAAAGACAUGA
This 999-nucleotide ribosomal RNA is filed under the name Triticum aestivum (bread wheat). RNAcentral's name for it is "partial small subunit ribosomal RNA". Lineage: Eukaryota; Viridiplantae; Streptophyta; Magnoliopsida; Poales; Poaceae. The record is from RNAcentral.